CCCUUAGAUGUCCUGGGCCACACGCGCGCUACAAUGACUCACUCAGAAAGUUUUUCCUGAUCCGGAAGGAUUCGGGUAAUCUUCAUAGCAUGAGUCGUGUUAGGGAUCGAUCUUUGCAAUUAUAGAUCUUGAACGAGGAAUGCCUAGUAAGUGCAGCUCAUCAGGCUGUACUGAUUACGUCCCUGCCCUUUGUACACACCGCCCGUCGCUCCUACCGAUUGAGUGGUCCGGUGAACCUUCUGGAUUAAGCAGCAAUGCUUGAGGAGUUAGGUAAACCUUAUCACUUAGAGGAAGGAGAAGUCGUGACA
RNAcentral lists this ribosomal RNA (308 nucleotides) under uncultured eukaryote. RNAcentral describes it as "partial 18S ribosomal RNA". It matches the Rfam family "Eukaryotic small subunit ribosomal RNA", at positions 1470 to 1796 of the family's 1831-position model. The record is from RNAcentral.